UACGUAGGGUGCGAGCGUUAAUCGGAAUUACUGGGCGUAAAGCGUGCGCAGGCGGUUUUGUAAGCCAGAUGUGAAAGCCCCGGGCUCAACCUGGGAAUUGCAUUUGAGACUGCGUAGCUAGGGUGCGGAAGAGGGAAGCGGAAUUUCCGGUGUAGCGGUGAAAUGCGUAGAGUAUCGGAAGGAACACCAGUGGCGGAAAGCGGCUUCCUGGUCCAGCACCGACGGUUCAGGCACGAAAAGCGUGGGGAGCAAACAGG
RNAcentral lists this ribosomal RNA (257 nucleotides) under uncultured bacterium. Its description in RNAcentral is "partial 16S ribosomal RNA". It matches the Rfam family "Bacterial small subunit ribosomal RNA", at positions 524 to 776 of the family's 1533-position model. The record is from RNAcentral.